UACGGAGGGGGCUAGCGUUGUUCGGAAUUACUGGGCGUAAAGCGCACGUAGGCGGAUCAGCAAGUUAGGGGUGAAAUCCCGGGGCUCAACCCCGGAACUGCCUUUAAAACUGUUGGUCUGGAGUCCGAGAGAGGUGAGUGGAAUUCCGAGUGUAGAGGUGAAAUUCGUAGAUAUUCGGAGGAACACCAGUGGCGAAGGCGGCUCACUGGCUCGGUACUGACGCUGAGGUGCGAAAGCGUGGGGAGCGAACAGG
This 253-nucleotide ribosomal RNA is filed under the name uncultured bacterium. RNAcentral describes it as "partial 16S ribosomal RNA". It matches the Rfam family "Bacterial small subunit ribosomal RNA", at positions 524 to 776 of the family's 1533-position model. The record is from RNAcentral.